Molecule: long non-coding RNA, 1131 nt
Organism: Musa acuminata AAA Group (dessert banana)
Lineage: Eukaryota; Viridiplantae; Streptophyta; Magnoliopsida; Zingiberales; Musaceae
Exons: 5
Source: RefSeq, a predicted model, not a curated record
UUGGUUCGAUGAUCGCGAAGACGGAGGAGGUAUGUGAGCUGCUUCCUCCAGUAUUGCCUUGUGGUUUGAGGGUGGGAGCUGACGGAACCAAUCAGAGGGACGAGGAGGGUGAUCAUUUGCCCCUGUAUGCCAACGAGGUCCUUCGCAUGUUGAUUUCGAUCUGGAACGCAUUGAUCCAUCGAAAAUCCAAAUGCAUAUUGUUUUGAAUCCGAGGCCUAUAAUGACGUGCGCGUACAUAAUAAUCUCUCGGUCCUUCGCGACCCGGCGACGCAACCGGGAAUCCAAAGACGCGGAGGAGGAGGAAUAGAGAGCGCGAUGGGUCUGCAGGUCGAUUUUGAAGAAUAUGCUGCAAAAGCUAAAACUUUACCUGUAAAUACUACUAACAAGAGCAAAUUGAUCCUGUAUGGGCUUUACUAGCAAGCAACUGUCGGACCUGUGAAUACUAGUUGACCUGGUAUAUUCAAUAUGAGGGAUCGAGCCAAAUGGGAAGCUUGGAAGGCUGUUAAAGGGGAGGAAGCCAAAGGAGGAGGCUAUGAGUGACUACCUCACCAAGGUUAAACAGCUGCUCGAGACAGCUGCUACUGUUGCUUAUGCUAAUUUGUCACACCUUGCUCUAUGUAGUACCAUGGUGUCCUCGAUAUCGAAGUAAAGAUCAUGCUGGACUAGGAUCCUAAAAGAAAGCAGGGCACCAUGACUCCUUUGCCAGAUCAUUUUACAAUUCAUGCCCCAAAGGAGGAAGAGGAGUUACACUCCAGAAGAAUUUGAAUGCUACAACCUUUGCAGAAGGAAUUAGGAUUACAUUUCUUCUUCAUAAGCUUCCUUCCGGCAUGUAACAAGACAAAGUUCUUCUGAUUUAUGUGCUUGAACUAGUCGUAGAUUAACAUGAAGGAAGAUUGGGAGUCCUUAGGCCCAUAUCUUAGUUUGUUCCAAUCUUUUCAGGAGUGUUAUUUGUUCUUAUCAUUUGUUUUGAAAACCGACGUGGUUACUCCCAUAAAUUUUUAUUGUUUUGUAGACUUGAUGUUAGUUAUUUGAAUUCGUAUGUAACACUUCCAAAGCUGGAAUAGUAGACUCAGAUUGGUUGUUUAAAUUCAUUCAAAAUUCUGAAUAUAUAAUUUAGAUGUAAUUUGACAA